This 253-nucleotide ribosomal RNA is filed under the name uncultured bacterium. Its description in RNAcentral is "partial 16S ribosomal RNA". It matches the Rfam family "Bacterial small subunit ribosomal RNA", at positions 524 to 776 of the family's 1533-position model. The record is from RNAcentral.
UACGGAGGGUGCAAGCGUUAUCCGGAUUCACUGGGUUUAAAGGGUGCGUAGGCGGGCAGGUAAGUCAGUGGUGAAAUCUCCGGGCUCAACCCGGAAACUGCCAUUGAUACUAUUAGUCUUGAAUUUUGUUGAGGUAGGCGGAAUAAGUCAUGUAGCGGUGAAAUGCAUAGAUAUGACUUAGAACACCAAUUGCGAAGGCAGCUUGCUAAACAAAUAUUGACGCUGAGGCACGAAAGCGUGGGGAUCAAACAGG